GUUUUGUUAGAAGGUUAUGUGUUAGCUCAGGACUUCAUUAUUUCUCGUCUGACCUUUUGCAGUAGCCUUCUAACUGGUUGC
RNAcentral lists this microRNA precursor (81 nucleotides) under Felis catus (domestic cat). RNAcentral describes it as "mir-872 microRNA precursor family". It matches the Rfam family "mir-872 microRNA precursor family". The record is from Rfam by way of RNAcentral. RNAcentral also lists the same sequence under 5 other names. Lineage: Eukaryota; Metazoa; Chordata; Mammalia; Carnivora; Felidae.